AGAGUUUGAUCAUGGCUCAGAUUGAACGCUGGCGGCAUGCUUUACACAUGCAAGUCGAACGGCAGCGCGGGGCAACCUGGCGGCGAGUGGCGAAGGGGUGAGUAAUAUAUCGGAACGUACCCAAGAGUGGGGGAUAACGUAGCGAAAGUUACGCUAAUACCGCAUACGAUCUAAGGAUGAAAGCAGGGGAUCUUCGGACCUUGUACUCCUGGAGCGGCCGAUAUCUGAUUAGCUAGUUGGUGAGGUAAAGGCUCACCAAGGCCACGAUCAGUAGCUGGUCUGAGAGGACGACCAGCCACACUGGAACUGAGACACGGUCCAGACUCCUACGGGAGGCAGCAGUGGGGAAUUUUGGACAAUGGGCGAAAGCCUGAUCCAGCAAUGCCGCGUGAGUGAAGAAGGCCUUCGGGUUGUAAAGCUCUUUUGUCAGGGAAGAAACGGUGAAGGCUAAUAUCCUUCGCUAAUGACGGUACCUGAAGAAUAAGCACCGGCUAACUACGUGCCAGCAGCCGCGGUAAUACGUAGGGUGCAAGCGUUAAUCGGAAUUACUGGGCGUAAAGCGUGCGCAGGCGGUUUUGUAAGUCUGACGUGAAAUCCCCGGGCUCAACCUGGGAAUUGCGUUGGAGACUGCAAGGCUAGAAUCUGGCAGAGGGGGGUAGAAUUCCACGUGUAGCAGUGAAAUGCGUAGAGAUGUGGAGGAACACCGAUGGCGAAGGCAGCCCCCUGGGUCAAGAUUGACGCUCAUGCACGAAAGCGUGGGGAGCAAACAGGAUUAGAUACCCCGGUAGUCC
Molecule: ribosomal RNA, 791 nt
Filed under: uncultured bacterium
Lineage: Bacteria
Description: bacterial SSU rRNA
Rfam family: Bacterial small subunit ribosomal RNA
Source: RNAcentral